Molecule: ribosomal RNA, 416 nt
Filed under: uncultured Methylomirabilota bacterium
Lineage: Bacteria; Methylomirabilota (SeqCode)
Description: bacterial SSU rRNA
Rfam family: Bacterial small subunit ribosomal RNA
Source: RNAcentral
CCGAAAGGCAGGAGUGCCCGCGAGGGAGCGCGGAGACAGGUGGUGCAUGGCUGUCGUCAGCUCGUGUCGUGAGAUGUUGGGUUAAGCCCCGCAACGAGCGCAACCCUCACCCCUUGUUGCUACCAGGUAAAGCUGGGCACUCUAGGGGAACUGCCCCGGUCAACGGGGAGGAAGGCGGGGAUGACGUCAAGUCAUCAUGCCCCUUACGUCCUGGGCUACACACGUGCUACAAUGGCCGGUACAAAGGGAUGCCACACCGUGAGGUAGAGCUAAACCCAAAAAGCCGGUCUAAGUUCAGAUUGGAGUCUGCAACUCGACUCCAUGAAGGAGGAAUCGCUAGUAAUCGCGUAUCAGCACGACGCGGUGAAUACGUUCCCGGGCCUUGUACACACCGCCCGUCACACCACGAAAGCCAG